UGACAGUACUCCUACGGGAGGCAGCAGUGGGAAUAUUGCACAAUGGGCGCAAGCCUGAUGCAGCCAUGCCGCGUGUGUGAAGAAGGCCUUCGGGUUGUAAAGCACUUUCAGUCGUGAGGAAGGUAGUGUAGUUAAUAGCUGCAUUAUUUGACGUUAGCGACAGAAGAAGCACCGGCUAACUCCGUGCCAGCAGCCGCGGUAAUACGGAGGGUGCGAGCGUUAAUCGGAAUUACUGGGCGUAAAAGCGCAUGCAGGUGGUUUGUUAAGUCAGAUGUGAAAAGCCCGGGCUCAAACCUCGGAAAUAGCAUUUGAAAACUGGCAGACUAGAGUACUGUAGAGGGGGUAGAAUUUCAGGUGUAGCGGUGAAAAUGCGUAGAGAUCUGAAGGAAUACCAGUGGCGAAGGCGGCCCCUGGACAAAGACUGACGCUCAGAUGCGAAAGCGUGGGGAGCAAACAGGAUUAGAUACCCUGGUAG
This 475-nucleotide ribosomal RNA is filed under the name uncultured bacterium. RNAcentral describes it as "bacterial SSU rRNA". It matches the Rfam family "Bacterial small subunit ribosomal RNA", at positions 328 to 793 of the family's 1533-position model. The record is from RNAcentral.